CACGUAGGAGGCGAGCGUUGUCCGGAAUCAUUGGGCGUAAAGAGCGCGCAGGCGGCUUGGCAAGUCGGGUGUGAAAUCCCGGGGCUCAACCCCGUGACUGCAUCCGAUACUGUCAGGCUAGAGGUAGGUAGGGGAGAUCGGAAUUCCUGGUGUAGCGGUGAAAUGCGCAGAUAUCAGGAGGAACACCGGUGGCGAAGGCGGGAUCCUGGGCCAGUACUGACGCUGAGGAGCGAAAGCGUGGGGAGCAAACAGG
RNAcentral lists this ribosomal RNA (253 nucleotides) under uncultured bacterium. RNAcentral describes it as "partial 16S ribosomal RNA". It matches the Rfam family "Bacterial small subunit ribosomal RNA", at positions 524 to 776 of the family's 1533-position model. The record is from RNAcentral.